This 474-nucleotide long non-coding RNA is filed under the name Homo sapiens (human). RNAcentral's name for it is "non-protein coding LINC01013:6". The record is from RNAcentral. Lineage: Eukaryota; Metazoa; Chordata; Mammalia; Primates; Hominidae.
GGAGCUCUUAUUACUUUUUGAGUGUCAGCAAGUUAAGACAUCAUCUCCAGAAAACUGUGCUAGUUGGCAUCCAGCAGUGCCCAAGUAUUAUUUAACCCACUAGAACCUGUGACUGCAUCAGCUUUAUAUCCUGGACCUCAGCCUGGAACAAAGGAGAGCUACACUUGGAUACUAAACACAAGUGGUCUGGAUAGAUUAUGCUGGGAAAAGAAGCCUGGAGCAGGCAGUACAGUGGGAGAACAAGGAGAGAAUGGAGUUGCAGCAGACUGCUCAGGAAUUGUACAUCACCAGUAGCUUCUGUCUCAGCUAAGUGUGGGAGACUGAUACUGAUGAGCCAUUAACAAUGGUGGAGAUUCUGAAUCACUGAAGCACUUGAUAAAAGAAAUGUCGUGGGUGAUGUGAAAAUCUACAUAUGCCCAUGAGAGUAUAUUGAGUUUGUAAGUGUUGUUGCUUAGUGUGUCACAGAGAAGUUUA